CCAUCCCGCCAACGUUUCGAACUCUUCCCCAUCCCUCAUUCUCUGUUGAGCUAUCUCGAUCGCCUCGUUCGAAAUGGCUUGCUCUCUUUUCCUUCCCUCUCUAUCUCAGUUUCGUCUUGCCUUUCUGAUCCGAUUUGGUUCUCUGUUUUGCUCAGCUAGUGAAGGAAACCGAGAUCACAGACAAUGAUUCGCUGCUCUUGUGGAUUGCAUGAGCGUUUCCUUCUGGAUCUCUUUUCUUCAGAUCGGUGUUUUCUGCUGCUUGAUCAUGCUAGAUCGAGACCCUUUCUUUCAAAUCGGGAGUAUUCACCGUUUCAUAGGAAGGAGACGAAGCGAUUAUUUAGUUCUAUUGGAUUUUCUUCGUAAUUUCUUACUAAUUGUGCAACUAUAGUUGUUACUAGUGAUCAGACUGUGCCUGAAUUGAAAGUAACGCAUAGUAGCCUUCCGUGUCUUCCAGACUUGGACAGUGUUAGGAUGCUAAAUGAGAUUCUAGUUAAUGCAAUUUUUCGAGAAUGUGGUCUAAGUUCAUUAACUUGGUGAAGUUUUGAGGGGAUUGCUUUCGGUGGCUUAUAGAUCAAUAUGCCAAAAUAUAAUAAUAAUUAUAGUCAUAGUUUUAUUGUAGAUCAGAAAAGUUCUGCUUCUUGUAUUUUGAAGGAGAUAUGUGGUUUUGUCUGAGCAAUUUGGUUUUAAUUUUCACUUAGGUACCUAUGAUGCGUUGCAGAAGAAGUACCUGAAGACGCUUAUGUUCUGUAUUUGUGAGGAGACGUCAGGUCCGAUGAUCGACCAGUAUACUCGAGCUCUGCUGGCAAGAUGAUUCUGAUGAGACCUUUGGAUCAAACGCCUGAGGAGGGUAAGCGUGAUGGCGGUUACUCGUUUGUUUUACUUCAAAAUAAAAAGCUGAAGUGGCUGGUUUCUAUGUUUCGGCGCACAAUUUUGAUGAAGCUCCUUUACCAUGAUGAUGUCACGGUUACAUCAUCCAAGAUGCAAUAUUGAGGCUUCAUGAGGACACUAAUUCCACGUGAAGCGGCAAUUCUCGUUGCAGAUAGGUGCGAUAGGCACUUGAAACAUGGCGGUCUUUCGGACGUGGCACGGACUACAGUGGCACAUAUGGGACUACUCGAACACGAGGUUAGCAAGACAUGCGACAAUAAAUUAGGGUUGUCAAGCACAUAAUAGAUAAGAUGUUUCUAACAUAAUGCUCUGCCUGUCUGAUGCUUUCCAAGGAGCAGAUAUAGAAAUCAUCUUGUAAUUUCGGGAUCCUAUGUCCGGCUGCGAAUCCGUCCGUCGCUUCUAACUCGAGCAGUCACAUCUGUAAGCUGAAUUGCAGCUUUUGUUUCAUGCUUCGCCAUGGUCGGUAGUCCAAGCAAGAUAUGCAAGAUCUACAUAAAUGAACCUGCGUGUGAAUUACCUUGAAGCACAACACUACAAUAAUUGUUGGGAAGGUCCACAACUAUUCAAUGACCACUCACGUAACUCACUGCAUGGGUUGAACUGGUGAAUGCGCAGGUAUCAAAACUCCCUUGCUUUUCUUAAUUUAAAUUUCUUCAGGAAGUACACCUUCAUUAUUCCGUGGCUUAAGACAAACAUCAGAGGACCACAAGAACUUUCACUAAUCUUGUUCCUUCAUCAUUAGAGAUCGUGUAAUGUACUCUGGACCCUGUAAGUACAUUUCAACCCUACCAAAUCAUUGAUCUUUCUCUUUUUAUAAUCCGAUUGCCUUCAGUGUCGUGCGAAGUUUCCACUCUUAUGUCUGGGACUGACAAUCCACCCUAUCAUGAUCAGCGCAGGAUUUGUUUAGUGAAAGCUGGAUGCCCGUGGGUUUUGCUGUCUAUUACCAUCAUCAGAGAUGAACCAAGACAUUUUACAGUGGUCCAGUUGCUACGACUUGUAGUUUGGAAUACUCCAGGCAAAGAUUCUAGAUGUGCUUUUUCUCUCCUACUUCAUCCUGUCUCGAGUUUAGUUUCAACUGUGUCUGGGGUCUCAGGGUCCACAAGAUAGAAUGAGCUCCAAAUCAGCUGGGAAGAAUGAAGAAACAGCAAGGAAUAGGGGCUGAGUUAAAGACACCAACUCAAAAGGUACCCAAUCAUUUCGUUCUUUAUUUCUCUCGAACGUAUUCGGUGUUCAUUAAAGAUUAUUGCUGCCAGAUCCUUGCAUGUAACAGUCAGUAUUGGGAAAGUUUUCGAGGAUUUUUUCAUCUACAUCUGCAUUAGGGUAGCAGAGAAGGGCUUGACGGUAAGCUAUUUUCACUAUUUCUAGCAGGCUUGAAAGAAACAAAUCGCUUAAAACUGUAAACAUUUCUUCCCCCACAUGAACUUUAGGUACUCCAUGCAUGUAGCAUUUAGUCUUUGAUCUUCAUGUUUGAUAUCUGGCAUCUAUCAUUGGAUUCCUUCAAUCUACAACAAAAAACCAGAAAGAACUAUCACUGGUCAUAGGAAGGAGACUCUUGGGAUAGUCGUCUACCAAAAACAAAAACAACGGCGAGAGUUGAAAAAUAGAGAUAGCAACCUUUCUUCCAAAGUCAAAACAAAAUAAAGGAAAAGGUCUGAAAAUUGUGACAAUGGACGGACCAUUACUGCUCUUGCACGGAGAUGGUGCCAAUUUGGUUUAUGAUCUCAGUAGUCCUCGAGAUAUUUGGACUUCUUUGGACGAAUGCACAUUCACGUGGGAAGAACAUCACACGUGUGUCACACAACCAGUUUACAUCUAUGAUUGG
Musa acuminata subsp. malaccensis (wild Malaysian banana) is the source of this 2710-nucleotide non-coding RNA. NCBI's taxonomy places the organism in Eukaryota, Viridiplantae, Streptophyta, Magnoliopsida, Zingiberales, Musaceae. The record is from RefSeq and is a predicted model, not a curated record.